UUUAAUUUAAAAAUUAAUUAAUUUUUACUUUUUAAUAAAAAAAUUUUUAAAUUAAUUUAAAUUUUGUUUUAGUAUAUUUUAUAGAAAAAAAUUUAAAAAUUUAUAGUAAAUAAGUAUUGUGAAAGAAUUUUGAAAUAUUUGAAAAUUUAUUUUUUGUAAAGUAAAUUUAGUUUAUUGUAUCUUGUGUAUCAGAGUUUAUUAAUAAAAGUUUUUAUGAAAAAAUUUCUCGAAUUAAAAAGAGUUAUUAAGUUAUAAAAUUUAUUGUUUCAUAAAUAUUUUUAAUAACUUAAUUGAAAUGAAAUGUUAAUCGUUUUUUAAGAUAUCUAGUUUUUUUAGAAAAAAAUUUAAUUUUAAAUUUUGAAAAUUAAAUAAUUUUUUAUUUAAUUAUUUAAUUUAAAAUUUUUAUACUUUAAGGGAUAAGCUUUAAAUUAAAUUUUUAUAAGAAAAUAUAUUUUAUAUAAAAAUUUUAUAAUUUAUAUUGUUAAAUAAAUUUUAAUUUAUUAUAAAUAAUUUUAUAAAAGAGAAAAAUUUAAAAUAUUUCUUUAAUUUUUUAUAAAAAAGUAAUUAGAAAUAAAAUAUUUUUAGUUAUAAUGAUAAAAUUAGUAUAUAAAGUUAGUUUGAAUUAUAAAAUAAAUUUAUAAGAAAAUUAAUUAAAAAGAAUUCGGCAAAUUUAUUUAAAUUAUAUUCACCUGUUUAUCAAAAACAUGUCUUUUUGUUAAUAAUUUAAAGUCUAAUCUGCCCACUGAUUAAGGAAUUGAAGGGCUGCAGUAUUUUGACUGUACAAAGGUAGCAUAAUCAUUAGUCUCUUAAUUGGUGACUUGUAUGAAUGAUUGGAUGAGAUAUAGGCUGUUUCUUAAUUAUUUAUAAAAUUUAAUUUUUUUAUUAAAAAGUAAAAAUAAAUUUAAAAGACGAGAAGACCCCAUAGAGUUUUAUAUAAAAAAUAGUUUAUAAAUUAUAUUUAAGAAUUUAAUUAGAAUUAUUUUUUAUAUUUUAUUGGGGUGAUAAGAAAAUUAAAUAAACUUUUUUAUAUUUUUUCCACAAAUAAGUGAUUAUAUGAUCCAUUAUUAAUGAUUAAAAGAAAAAAUUACCUUGGGGAUAACAGCGUAAUUUUUUUUUUUAGUUCAAAUAGGAAAAAGAGUUUGCGACCUCGAUGUUGGAUUAAGAUAAAAUUUAAAUGCAAAAGUUUAAAAUUUUGAUCUGUUCGAUCAUUAAAAUCUUACAUGAUCUGAGUUCAAACCGGUGUAAGCCAGGUUGGUUUCUAUCUUUAAAUUAGUAAAAUAUUUUAGUACGAAAGGAUCAAAUAUUUAAAAUAAUUUUUAUUAAAAGAAUUUUAUUAAUUUAUUAUUAAAUUAAUUAAUUAUUAUUGUAUUAAUUAAUUAUUUUUAU
This 1386-nucleotide ribosomal RNA is filed under the name Zygaena oxytropis oxytropis. RNAcentral describes it as "16S ribosomal RNA". The record is from RNAcentral. Lineage: Eukaryota; Metazoa; Arthropoda; Insecta; Lepidoptera; Zygaenidae.